UUCGCCCUUAGAGUUUGAUCCUGGCUCAGAGCGAACGCUGGCGGCAGGCUUAACACAUGCAAGUCGAACGGGCUUCUUCGGAAGUCAGUGGCAGACGGGUGAGUAACACGUGGGAACGUGCCCUUCGGUUCGGAAUAACUCAGGGAAACUUGAGCUAAUACCGGAUACGCCCUUAUGGGGAAAGGUUUACUGCCGAAGGAUCGGCCCGCGUCUGAUUAGCUUGUUGGUGGGGUAACGGCCUACCAAGGCGACGAUCAGUAGCUGGUCCGAGGGGAUGAUCAGCCACACUGGGACUGAGACACGGCCCAGACUCCUACGGGAGGCAGCAG
This 329-nucleotide ribosomal RNA is filed under the name uncultured Methylobacterium sp. RNAcentral describes it as "bacterial SSU rRNA". It matches the Rfam family "Bacterial small subunit ribosomal RNA", at positions 1 to 354 of the family's 1533-position model. Lineage: Bacteria; Pseudomonadati; Pseudomonadota; Alphaproteobacteria; Hyphomicrobiales; Methylobacteriaceae. The record is from RNAcentral.